RNAcentral lists this non-coding RNA (28 nucleotides) under Mus musculus (house mouse). The record is from RNAcentral. Lineage: Eukaryota; Metazoa; Chordata; Mammalia; Rodentia; Muridae.
UAUUGUUCCAUAGCAGACAUGUAAAUAG